This 2245-nucleotide ribosomal RNA is filed under the name Campylobacter coli. Its description in RNAcentral is "partial 23S ribosomal RNA". It matches the Rfam family "Bacterial large subunit ribosomal RNA", at positions 1 to 2101 of the family's 2925-position model. The record is from RNAcentral. Lineage: Bacteria; Pseudomonadati; Campylobacterota; Epsilonproteobacteria; Campylobacterales; Campylobacteraceae.
AGGUAAGCUACUAAGAGCGAAUGGUGGAUGCCUUGACUGGUAAAGGCGAUGAAGGACGUACUAGACUGCGAUAAGCUACGGGGAGCUGUCAAGAAGCUUUGAUCCGUAGAUUUCCGAAUGGGGCAACCCAAUGUAUAGAGAUAUACAUUACCUAUAUAGGAGCGAACGAGGGGAAUUGAAACAUCUUAGUACCCUCAGGAAAAGAAAUCAAUAGAGAUUGCGUCAGUAGCGGCGAGCGAAAGCGCAAGAGGGCAAACCCAGUGCUUGCACUGGGGGUUGUAGGACUGCAAUGUGCAAGAGGUAAGUUUAGCAGAACAUUCUGGAAAGUAUAACCAUAGAGGGUGAUAGUCCCGUAUGCGAAAAACAAACCUUAGCUAGCAGUAUCCUGAGUAGGGCGGGACACGAGGAAUCCUGUCUGAAUCUGGGUCGACCACGAUCCAACCCUAAAUACUAAUACCAGAUCGAUAGUGCACAAGUACCGUGAGGGAAAGGUGAAAAGAACUGAGGUGAUCAGAGUGAAAUAGAACCUGAAACCAUUUGCUUACAAUCAUUCAGAGCCCUAUGUAGCAAUACAGGGUGAUGGACUGCCUUUUGCAUAAUGAGCCUGCGAGUUGUGGUGUCUGGCAAGGUUAAGCAAACGCGAAGCCGUAGCGAAAGCGAGUCUGAAUAGGGCGCUUAGUCAGAUGCUGCAGACCCGAAACGAAGUGAUCUAUCCAUGAGCAAGUUGAAGCUAGUGUAAGAACUAGUGGAGGACUGAACCCAUAGGCGUUGAAAAGCCCCGGGAUGACUUGUGGAUAGGGGUGAAAGGCCAAUCAAACUUCGUGAUAGCUGGUUCUCUCCGAAAUAUAUUUAGGUAUAGCGUUGUGUCGUAAUAUAAGGGGGUAGAGCACUGAAUGGGCUAGGGCAUACACCAAUGUACCAAACCCUAUCAAACUCCGAAUACCUUAUAUGUAAUCACAGCAGUCAGGCGGCGAGUGAUAAAAUCCGUCGUCAAGAGGGAAACAACCCAGACUACCAGCUAAGGUCCCUAAAUCUUACUUAAGUGGAAAACGAUGUGAAGUUACUUAAACAACCAGGAGGUUGGCUUAGAAGCAGCCAUCCUUUAAAGAAAGCGUAAUAGCUCACUGGUCUAGUGAUUUUGCGCGGAAAAUAUAACGGGGCUAAAGUAAGUACCGAAGCUGUAGACUUGCGCACAACUUAGAUUAUUUAAGUUUAGAAUAUGAGAAACUAAGUUAUAUGUUUAGUUAUAUUUUUACUGAUUUUUAUAGAGUAAAGAUAGAAAUAAAACUUAGUAAAAUCAGUAAAAAUAUUCUUAGACUAAAGUUAAGUAGUUUAAGUUGUGUGCAAGUGGUAGGAGAGCGUUCUAUUUGCGUCGAAGGUAUACCGGUAAGGAGUGCUGGAGCGAAUAGAAGUGAGCAUGCAGGCAUGAGUAGCGAUAAUUAAUGUGAGAAUCAUUAACGCCGUAAACCCAAGGUUUCCUACGCGAUGCUCGUCAUCGUAGGGUUAGUCGGGUCCUAAGUCGAGUCCGAAAGGGGUAGACGAUGGCAAAUUGGUUAAUAUUCCAAUACCAACAUUAGUGUGCGAUGGAAGGACGCUUAGGGCUAAGGGGGCUAGCGGAUGGAAGUGCUAGUCUAAGGUCGUAGGAGGUUAUACAGGCAAAUCCGUAUAACAAUACUCCGAGAACUGAAAGGCUUUUUGAAGUCUUCGGAUGGAUAGAAGAACCCCUGAUGCCGUCGAGCCAAGAAAAGUUUCUAAGUUUAGCUAAUGUUGCCCGUACCGUAAACCGACACAGGUGGGUGGGAUGAGUAUUCUAAGGCGCGUGGAAGAACUCUCUUUAAGGAACUCUGCAAAAUAGCACCGUAUCUUCGGUAUAAGGUGUGGUUCGCUUCGUAUUAGGAUUUACUCCGAAAGCGAAGAAACUUACAACAAAGAGUCCCUCCCGACUGUUUACCAAAAACACAGCACUCUGCUAACUCGUAAGAGGAUGUAUAGGGUGUGACGCCUGCCCGGUGCUCGAAGGUUAAUUGAUGGGGUUAGCAUUAGCGAAGCUCUUGAUCGAAGCCCGAGUAAACGGCGGCCGUAACUAUAACGGUCCUAAGGUAGCGAAAUUCCUUGUCGGUUAAAUACCGACCUGCAUGAAUGGCGUAACGAGAUGGGAGCUGUCUCAAAGAGGGAUCCAGUGAAAUUGUAGUGGAGGUGAAAAUUCCUCCUACCCGCGGCAAGACGGAAAGACCCCGUGGACCUU